Molecule: ribosomal RNA, 425 nt
Filed under: uncultured bacterium
Lineage: Bacteria
Description: bacterial SSU rRNA
Rfam family: Bacterial small subunit ribosomal RNA
Source: RNAcentral
GGGGAAUAUUGGACAAUGGGCGAAAGCCUGAUCCAGCCAUGCCGCGUGUGUGAAGAAGGUCUUCGGAUUGUAAAGCACUUUAAGUUGGGAGGAAGGGCUGUUACCUAAUACGUGACAGUUUUGACGUUACCAACAGAAUAAGCACCGGCUAACUUCGUGCCAGCAGCCGCGGUAAUACGAAGGGUGCAAGCGUUAAUCGGAAUUACUGGGCGUAAAGCGCGCGUAGGCGGUUUGAUAAGUUGGAUGUGAAAGCCCCGGGCUCAACCUGGGAAUUGCAUCCAAAACUGUCUGACUAGAGUACGGUAGAGGGUGGUGGAAUUUCCUGUGUAGCGGUGAAAUGCGUAGAUAUAGGAAGGAACAUCAGUGGCGAAGGCGACCACCUGGACUGAGACUGACGCUGAGGUGCGAAAGCGUGGGGAGCAAAC